UACGUAGGGUGCAAGCGUUGUCCGGAAUUAUUGGGCGUAAAGAGCUCGUAGGCGGUUUGUCGCGUCUGCUGUGAAAACCCGGGGCUUAACUUCGGGCUUGCGGUUGAUACGGGCGGGCUGGAGUUCGGUAGGGGAGACUGGAAUUCCUGGUGUAGUGGUGAAAUGCGUAGAUAUCCGGAGGAACACCAGUGGCGAAAGCGGCCACCUGGACUGUACCUGACGCUGACACGCGAAAGCUAGGGGAGCGAACGGG
This 253-nucleotide ribosomal RNA is filed under the name uncultured bacterium. Its description in RNAcentral is "partial 16S ribosomal RNA". It matches the Rfam family "Bacterial small subunit ribosomal RNA", at positions 524 to 776 of the family's 1533-position model. The record is from RNAcentral.